GCGGAGGGAUCAUUAAAGAGUUCUAUAACUCCCAAACCCAUGUGAACAUACCUAACGUUGCCUCGGCAGGUCGCACCUACCUUGUAGCACCCUACCCUGUAGGGCCUACCCGGGAGGUGCGGGUAAGCCUGCCGGCGGCCCACCAAACUCUGUUUGAUAUUGAAUUCUGAACCUAUAACUAAAUAAGUUAAAACUUUCAACAACGGAUCUCUUGGUUCUGGCAUCGAUGAAGAACGCAGCGAAAUGCGAUAAGUAAUGUGAAUUGCAGAAUUCAGUGAAUCAUCGAAUCUUUGAACGCAUAUUGCGCCCAUUAGUAUUCUAGUGGGCAGGACCGUUCGAGCGUCAUUUCAACCCUUAAGCCUUCGUUGCUUAGUGUUGGGAGCCUACGGCAACGUAGCUCCUCAAAGUUAGUGGCGGAGUUGGUUCACACUCUAGACGUAGUAAUUUUUUAUCUCGCCUAUUAGUUGGACUAAUCCCCUGCCGUAAAACCCCCAAUUUAUAUCAAGGUUGACCUCGAAUCGGUUCAGACAAACUCGCUAAAUUGAAGCAUCUUAGUCAGCGAAGGAAAAGAAACCAACAGGGAUUGCCCUAGUAACGGCGAGUGAAGCGGCAACAGCUCAAAUUUGAAAUCUGGCCCUCGGGUCCGAGUUGUAAUUUGUAGAGGAUGCUUUUGGCGCGGUGCCUUCCGAGUUCCCUGGAACGGGACGCCUUAGAGGGUGAGAGCCCCGUACGGUUGGACACCAAGCCUCUGUAAAGCUCCUUCGACGAGUCGAGUAGCUUGGGAA
Molecule: ribosomal RNA, 785 nt
Filed under: fungal endophyte
Lineage: Eukaryota; Fungi
Description: eukaryotic LSU rRNA
Rfam family: Eukaryotic large subunit ribosomal RNA (bases 509-785)
Source: RNAcentral